Molecule: ribosomal RNA, 459 nt
Filed under: uncultured bacterium
Lineage: Bacteria
Description: partial 16S ribosomal RNA
Rfam family: Bacterial small subunit ribosomal RNA
Source: RNAcentral
CCUACGGGAGGCAGCAGUGAGGAAUAUUGGUCAAUGGCCGCAGGGCUGAACCAGCCAAGUCGCGUGAGGGAUGACGGUCCUAUGGAUUGUAAACCUCUUUUGUCAGGGAGCAAAGGGCGCCACGUGUGGCGUUUCGCGAGUACCCGAAGAAAAAGCAUCGGCUAACUCCGUGCCAGCAGCCGCGGUAAUACGGAGGAUGCGAGCGUUAUCCGGAUUUAUUGGGUUUAAAGGGUGCGCAGGCGGAAUGUCAAGUCAGCGGUAAAAUUGCGGGGCUCAACCUCGUCGUGCCGUUGAAACUGGCGGUCUUGAGUGAGCGAGAAGUAUGCGGAAUGCGUGGUGUAGCGGUGAAAUGCAUAGAUAUCACGCAGAACUCCGAUUGCGAAGGCAGCAUACCGGCGCUCAACUGACGCUCAUGCACGAAAGCGUGGGUAUCGAACAGGAGUAGAUACCCUAGUAGUC